This 373-nucleotide ribosomal RNA is filed under the name uncultured organism. RNAcentral's name for it is "partial 16S ribosomal RNA". It matches the Rfam family "Bacterial small subunit ribosomal RNA", at positions 527 to 896 of the family's 1533-position model. The record is from RNAcentral.
GUAGGUGGCAAGCGUUGUCCGGAAUUAUUGGGCGUAAAGCGCGCGCAGGCGGUUCUUUAAGUCUGAUGUGAAAGCCCACGGCUCAACCGUGGAGGGUCAUUGGAAACUGGAGAACUUGAGUACAGAAGAGGAAAGCGGAAUUCCACGUGUAGCGGUGAAAUGAGUAGAGAUGUGGAGGAACACCAGUGGCGAAGGCGGCUUUCUGGUCUGUAACUGACGCUGAGGCGCGAAAGCGUGGGGAGCAAACAGGAUUAGAUACCCUGGUAGUCCACGCCGUAAACGAUGAGUGCUAAGUGUUAGGGGGGUUUCCGCCCCCCUUAGUGCUGCAGCUAACGCAUUAAGCACUCCGCCUGGGAGUACGGCCGCAAGGCUG